This 65-nucleotide transfer RNA is filed under the name Salinator rhamphidia. RNAcentral's name for it is "tRNA-Thr". Lineage: Eukaryota; Metazoa; Mollusca; Gastropoda; Amphibolidae. The record is from RNAcentral.
ACCAGAAUAGCUUAAUUUUAAAAAGCUUUGAUUUUGUAAUUCAAGGAUGGGAACUCCUUCUGGUA